Molecule: long non-coding RNA, 526 nt
Filed under: Androctonus crassicauda
Lineage: Eukaryota; Metazoa; Arthropoda; Arachnida; Scorpiones; Buthidae
Source: RNAcentral
AGUCAGGCCAAGUAUAGAAAGAAAACUAUUGAAGGGAGAUGCAGUCCCUUCCAUAUUUGACCUUCCAAACCAUUCAAUAAAGAAGAGUUCCAAAAGAAUAUUGAUUAAACCAGCAUUGAAUUCCUCAACUUCUACAUUCAUUAUUCAGUAUCACAAGUUAUUGACAUGGGAGAGUAUGACAAUUCAAAUGGAAACAGUGAGAUACAAUCAUCUACAGUAGUAGCAUUGAGAAAAAAGGUGAAGAAUCUGAUUUAUAUUGCAGGACAUGUGAUUAAUAAAGUAAUGAAAAAUGUGAAAAAUCUUAAUGUGAUAAGUGUUGUAAAAUCAUCAUUUGAAAGUGAUCCCUUAUGUAUCAAGCUGGUAUUGUGUAAAUAGGGGAGGUCUUGUGUUUGCAUCAGAUGGUAUAAUUGAAAUAGUAAAAUAUGUAUAAAAGUCAUUGAGACCCCUCACAAUUCAACGUGGAAUGAUGAUAAAUUCAAUUUCUAAAAAGAUAGCAAGAUUUGUAAUACAACAUUUUUCUCAGCCG